This 423-nucleotide ribosomal RNA is filed under the name uncultured bacterium. RNAcentral's name for it is "partial 16S ribosomal RNA". It matches the Rfam family "Bacterial small subunit ribosomal RNA", at positions 360 to 775 of the family's 1533-position model. The record is from RNAcentral.
AAUCUUGGAAAAGGGGUGCAAUGCUGAUCCAACCAUCCCGUGUGUGCGAUGAAUACCAUAGGUAAAUAAAGUACUUUUGGUAGAGAAGAAUAUGUACCGACUAAUACGCGGUAAUGCUGACGAUAUCUCAAGAAUAGGCACCGGCGAACUACCAGCCAGCAGCCGCGGUAAUACGUAGGGAGCAAGCGUUAUUCGGAAUUACUGGGCGUAAAGCGUGUGUAGGCGGUUCGGAAAGAAAGAUGUGAAAUCCCAGGGCUCAACCUUGGAACUGCAUUUUUAACUGCCGAGCUAGAGUAUGUCAGAGGGGGGUAGAAUUCCACGUGUAGCAGUGAAAUGCGUAGAUAUGUGGAGGAAUACCGAUGGCGAAGGCAGCCCCCUGGGAUAAUACUGACGCUCAGACACGAAAGCGUGGGGAGCAAACAG